Molecule: ribosomal RNA, 442 nt
Filed under: uncultured soil bacterium
Lineage: Bacteria
Description: bacterial SSU rRNA
Rfam family: Bacterial small subunit ribosomal RNA
Source: RNAcentral
AGAACGAACGCUGGCGGCAUGCCUAAUACAUGCAAGUCGAACGAGAUCUUCGGAUCUAGUGGCGCACGGGUGCGUAACGCGUGGGAAUCUACCCUUGGGUUCGGAAUAACAGUUGGAAACGACUGCUAAUACCGGAUGAUGACGAAAGUCCAAAGAUUUAUCGCCCAAGGAUGAGCCCGCGUAGGAUUAGCUAGUUGGUGAGGUAAAGGCUCACCAAGGCUACGAUCCUUAGCUGGUCUGAGAGGAUGAUCAGCCACACUGGGACUGAGACACGGCCCAGACUCCUACGGGAGGCAGCAGUAGGGAAUAUUGGACAAUGGGGGCAACCUGAUCCAGCAAUGCCGCGUGAGUGAUGAAGGCCUUAGGUUGUAAAGCUCUUUUACCCGAGAUGAUAAUGACAGUAUCGGAGAAUAAGCCCGAUAACUCCGUGCCAGCAGCCGAC